CAGUAGGGAAUCUUCCACAAUGGGCGAAAGCCUGAUGGAGCNACGCCGCGUGAGUGANGAAGGNUUUCGGAUCGUAAAANUCUGUUGUAAGGGAAGAACAAGUACAGUAGUAACUGGCUGUACCUUGACGGUACCUUAUUAGAAAGCCACGGCUAACUACGUGCCAGCAGCCGCGGUAAUACGUAGGUGGCAAGCGUUGUCCGGAAUUAUUGGGCGUAAAGCGCGCGCAGGCGGUCCUUUAAGUCUGAUGUGAAAGCCCACGGCUCAACCGUGGAGGGUCAUUGGAAACUGGGGGACUUGAGUGCAGAAAAGGAAAGUGGAAUUCCAAGUGUAGCGGUGAAAUGCGUAGAGAUUUGGAGGAACACCAGUGGCGAAGGCGA
This 380-nucleotide ribosomal RNA is filed under the name Lysinibacillus xylanilyticus. RNAcentral's name for it is "bacterial SSU rRNA". It matches the Rfam family "Bacterial small subunit ribosomal RNA", at positions 352 to 724 of the family's 1533-position model. The record is from RNAcentral. Lineage: Bacteria; Bacillati; Bacillota; Bacilli; Caryophanales; Bacillaceae.